Molecule: ribosomal RNA, 428 nt
Filed under: uncultured prokaryote
Description: bacterial SSU rRNA
Rfam family: Bacterial small subunit ribosomal RNA
Source: RNAcentral
UGAGGAAUUUUGCGCAAUGGGGGAAACCCUGACGCAGCAACGCCGCGUGAGUGAUGAAGGCUUUCGGGUCGUAAAGCUCUGUCAAGUGGGAAGAACCUGCUUCGUGAUAAUACCAUGAAGCACUGACGGUACCACUGAAGGAAGCACCGGCUAACUCCGUGCCAGCAGCCGCGGUAAUACGGGGGGUGCUAGCGUUAUUCGGAAUCAUUGGGCGUAAAGGGCGCGUAGGCGGUCUCUUAAGUCAGAUGUGAAAGCCCUCGGCUUAACCGAGGAAGUGCAUUUGAUACUAAGUGACUUGAGUAUGGGAGAGGGAAGCGGAAUUCCUGGUGUAGCGGUGAAAUGCGUAGAUAUCAGGAGGAACACCGGUGGCGAAGGCGGCUUCCUGGACCAAUACUGACGCUGAGGCGCGAAGGCGUGGGGAGCAAACA